This 1013-nucleotide long non-coding RNA is filed under the name Homo sapiens (human). RNAcentral's name for it is "HSALNT0205698". The record is from RNAcentral. Lineage: Eukaryota; Metazoa; Chordata; Mammalia; Primates; Hominidae.
ACACAGCGUCUUACCUAGAAUAGCAGCAACUUACUCCUUUAGCUACAUAUAUUUUCAUUCGUGGACCUCUAACAGACAAAUAAUAUAACUUGAGAGAAUUUCAGAGUACUACUUUUUAGCCUCAAAGACGUUCUUCCAACUAUCCACUAUUGAUACAUUUAAAUAAUUUAUUAAAAAAUUUACAAACACUUCAAAUAAAAUUAUGAAGUUCUUCAGAAGAUAUUCCUAAAAUAUAGGCAUGUUUUCCUUUAAAUAUCUGGGAUUCUAUCUACAGUGCCUCUGUUAUAUUCAUUCAAAUUAUUCUUAUAAUCUAAAACAAUGAAGCUUCUCAACUGGUGGAAUGCUGCCAGAGGAUUUCAACAGAGUUUGAAGGCAACAUAACCAAAAGGCAUAGUUUAAAUUGGCUUAGGAAAUGAAUGGGCUCCUUAUCAGAGCAGCUGAAGGCUGUAUACAAUUAACAGCAUCUGUCAACUUUCAUAGGGCCCCAUAUAGAACAAGCAGGCCCUACAGCCUGGCGGCAACCUUCAGCUUCUGGCACCUUCGGAUCCACAUGACCUGAAAACAGAAAGACGGCUUCAAGCCAUCACUAGAAGGCCUCUGAAUCAUUUUAGUGAUAUUGCUAAUUAAUGUUAAUUAUUUGAACAAUUCUGUUAACCUUAGCAUCAGGCUUUAAAUUAACCAGCUACCAUUCAAAAUAUAAAAUCAUUUGUAGAGAUAAGUUUAUAUUUAUAAUAACUGAUUUUACAGUCUCUUACAUGUUAUUUUUAUUUUUAAAGACUAUGAAAAUUAUCUACCUACCUGCCUUUUUAUAUGAUGAACUCUCAAAUCAGCUAAAAUAUUUUUGUAUGAAGAGUACUAAAUUCAUUAUAUGGCAAUUUUUAAUUGUUUUUGUAUAUAAUACAUUUCUCUCAUGAGCAUGUACAAAACAAAGCAAAUCCAGAGUUUCAUUAAAUAAAUUUAUUUGUUAAAAUAAUUUAACUCCAAAUACAACUGUUGAAUUUGCAUUGAGUUAU